AGUCAAUAGAUACCCCGGUAGUCCAUGCCGUAAACGAUGAUUGCUAGGUGUGGGGGGUCUGACCCCUUCCGUGCCGGAGUUAAACACAAAUAAGCAAUCCACCUGGGGAGUACGGCCGCAAGGUUGAAACUCAAAGGAAUUGACGGGGGCCCGCACAAGCAGUGGAGUAUGUGGUUUAAUUCGAAGCAACGCGAAGAACCUUACCAGGUCUUGACAUCCACCGAAUCCUGUAGAGAUACGGGAGUGCCCUUCGGGGAACGGUGAGACAGGUGGUGCAUGGUUGUCGUCAGCUCGUGUCGUGAGAUGUUGGGUUAAGUCCCGCAACGAGCGCAACCCUUGUGAAUAGUUGCUACGAAAGAGCACUCUAUUCAGACCGCCGUUGACAAAACGGAGGAAGGUGGGGAUGACGUCAAAUCAUCAUGCCCCUUAUGACCUGGGCUACACACGUACUACAACGGCCGUUAACAGAGGGAUGCAAUGCCGCGAGGUGGAGCGAACCCCUAAAAACGGUCUCAGUUCAGAUUGCAGGCUGAAACUCGCCUGC
RNAcentral lists this ribosomal RNA (544 nucleotides) under uncultured bacterium. RNAcentral describes it as "bacterial SSU rRNA". It matches the Rfam family "Bacterial small subunit ribosomal RNA", at positions 775 to 1319 of the family's 1533-position model. The record is from RNAcentral.